Molecule: ribosomal RNA, 559 nt
Filed under: Serratia sp. VK25
Lineage: Bacteria; Pseudomonadati; Pseudomonadota; Gammaproteobacteria; Enterobacterales; Yersiniaceae
Description: bacterial SSU rRNA
Rfam family: Bacterial small subunit ribosomal RNA
Source: RNAcentral
CAAGAGAGCUUGCUCUCUGGGUGACGAGCGGCGGACGGGUGAGUAAUGUCUGGGAAACUGCCUGAUGGAGGGGGAUAACUACUGGAAACGGUAGCUAAUACCGCAUAACGUCUUCGGACCAAAGUGGGGGACCUUCGGGCCUCACGCCAUCAGAUGUGCCCAGAUGGGAUUAGCUAGUAGGUGGGGUAAUGGCUCACCUAGGCGACGAUCCCUAGCUGGUCUGAGAGGAUGACCAGCCACACUGGAACUGAGACACGGUCCAGACUCCUACGGGAGGCAGCAGUGGGGAAUAUUGCACAAUGGGCGCAAGCCUGAUGCAGCCAUGCCGCGUGUGUGAAGAAGGCCUUCGGGUUGUAAAGCACUUUCAGCGAGGAGGAAGGGUAGUGUGUUAAUAGCACAUUGCAUUGACGUUACUCGCAGAAGAAGCACCGGCUAACUCCGUGCCAGCAGCCGCGGUAAUACGGAGGGUGCAAGCGUUAAUCGGAAUUACUGGGCGUAAAGCGCACGCAGGCGGUUUGUUAAGUCAGAUGUGAAAUCCCCGCGCUUAACGUGGGAACUG